UUUAUGGUUGUUUCUAAUUGAGUUUGUAACCUCUUAAUCUUCUUCAUUAUUUGUGUUUAUUUUCUUACUAGUUUGCACUGAACCAUGCACUUCAUUUAGAUUUUCCUAUAAUUCUGGUUUUCACUAUUCUAGCGAUUUCAUCCAUAUUCAAUGUAGUUUCAGUUUUCUCCUUUUCCUAUGAUAUUCUGCUUAUUCUAUGUGUCUAUCUAUUUG
RNAcentral lists this long non-coding RNA (213 nucleotides) under Gossypium raimondii (Peruvian cotton). RNAcentral's name for it is "long non-coding RNA (GRAI_LNC005890)". Lineage: Eukaryota; Viridiplantae; Streptophyta; Magnoliopsida; Malvales; Malvaceae. The record is from RNAcentral.